Molecule: non-coding RNA, 297 nt
Organism: Vicia faba (fava bean)
Lineage: Eukaryota; Viridiplantae; Streptophyta; Magnoliopsida; Fabales; Fabaceae
Source: the annotation of a GenBank genome assembly
AUGGCGGAGGGAGGCUUGGAGAACUUUGAGAAGAGGUUGAUGGAUAGAGGAAAGGUUUUAUGGAUUCUGAACGUGAGCGGAAAGGUGAUUGUCUCAGCGAACGGAAAUUAUGAACUGGUUUGUGAGAUGGCUAUGGAAGUAAGGUAUGGUGUUGAAGGCGUCCGCAGUUUGGAUUGUUAUUUCUGCCGGUUAUGUUAUUUAGAUGAUGCAGGCCUAUGUGCAGCAGCAGGUUGUGACAGGUUUUUUGACUUGAAGCAAGUUUGGAUUAUUUUGCACAAGGUUUUGGAAAUUGGCUAG